This is a small nuclear RNA of Rattus norvegicus (Norway rat), 155 nucleotides long. Ensembl annotates it as U2 spliceosomal RNA. The record is from Ensembl. Lineage: Eukaryota; Metazoa; Chordata; Mammalia; Rodentia; Muridae.
AUCGCUUCUCGGCCUUUUGGCUAAGAUCAAGUGUAGUUUUUGACUGUAUGGCAACCCAUCCCUCGUCUAUUGGAGGUAGACUCUUCAAGUUCCCUCUCCCCACUCGAGGGCAUUUCAUCUAAGGUCCCUUGGAGGCCCUCUUAUGAGGAACUCAU